This 1295-nucleotide ribosomal RNA is filed under the name uncultured bacterium. RNAcentral describes it as "partial 16S ribosomal RNA". It matches the Rfam family "Bacterial small subunit ribosomal RNA", at positions 213 to 1501 of the family's 1533-position model. The record is from RNAcentral.
UAGCGCCAAAGGAUGAGCCUGCACUUGAUUAGCUAGUUGGUAAGGUAAUGGCUUACCAAGGCUACGAUCAAUAGCUGAUCUGAGAGGAUGAUCAGCCACAUUGGGACUGAGAUACGGCCCAGACUCCUACGGGAGGCAGCAGUGGGGAAUAUUGGACAAUGGGGGCAACCCUGAUCCAGCAAUACCGCGUGUGUGAAGAAGGCCUGAGGGUUGUAAAGCACUUUCAAUUGUGAAGAAAAGUUAACGGUUAAUAACCGUUAGCCUUGACGUUAACUUUAGAAGAAGCACCGGCUAACUCCGUGCCAGCAGCCGCGGUAAUACGGAGGGUGCAAGCGUUAAUCGGAAUUACUGGGCGUAAAGCGUGCGUAGGCGGUUUAUUAAGUCAGAUGUGAAAGCCCCGGGCUUAACCUGGGAACUGCAUUUGAAACUGGUCAACUAGAGUAUGGUAGAGGAAAGUGGAAUUUCUGGUGUAGCGGUGAAAUGCGUAGAUAUCAGAAGGAACAUCAAUGGCGAAGGCAGCUUUCUGGACCAAUACUGACGCUGAGGUACGAAAGCGUGGGUAGCAAACAGGAUUAGAUACCCUGGUAGUCCACGCCGUAAACGAUGAUAACUAGCCGUUGGGGGGAUUUACCCUUUAGUGGCGAAGCUAACGCGUUAAGUUAUCCGCCUGGGGAGUACGGCCGCAAGGUUAAAACUCAAAGGAAUUGACGGGGACCCGCACAAGCGGUGGAGCAUGUGGUUUAAUUCGAUGCAACGCGAAGAACCUUACCUGGUCUUGACAUCCUGCGAACUUUCUAGAAAUAGAUUGGUGCCUUCGGGAACGCAGUGACAGGUGCUGCAUGGCUGUCGUCAGCUCGUGUCGUGAGAUGUUGGGUUAAGUCCCGUAACGAGCGCAACCCCUAUCCUUAUUUGCCAGCACGUCAUGGUGGGAACUAUAAGGAGACUGCCGGUGAUAAACCGGAGGAAGGCGGGGACGACGUCAAGUCAUCAUGGCCCUUACGACCAGGGCUACACACGUGCUACAAUGGGAAGGACAAAGAGCCGCGAAGCCGCGAGGUGUAGCUAAUCUCAGAAACCUUUUCGUAGUCCGGAUUGGAGUCUGCAACUCGACUCCAUGAAGUCGGAAUCGCUAGUAAUCGUAGAUCAGAAUGCUACGGUGAAUACGUUCCCGGGUCUUGUACACACCGCCCGUCAUACCAUGGGAGUGGGUUGCACCAGAAGUGGCUAGUCUAACUUAGUGAGGACGGUCACCACGGUGUGAUUCAUGACUGGGGUAAAGUCGUAACAAGGUAACC